CCUACGGGAGGCAGCAGUAGGGAAUUUUCCACAAUGGGCGAAAGCCUGAUGGAGCAAUACCGCGUGCAGGAUGAAGGCCUUCGGGUCGUAAACUGCUUUUAUGUGCGAAGAAUUUGACGGCAACACAUGAAUAAGGAUCGGCUAACUACGUGCCAGCAGCCGCGGUCAUACGUAGGAUCCAAGCGUUAUCCGGAAUUACUGGGCGUAAAGAGUUGCGUAGGUGGCAUUAUAAGUGGAGCGUGAAAGCGUGCGGCUCAACCGCAUUAUUGCGUUCCAAACUGUGAAGCUUGAGUAUGGGAGAGGUAGAUGGAAUUUCUAGUGUAGGAGUGAAAUCCGUAGAUAUUAGAAGGAACACCGAUGGCGUAGGCAGUCUACUGGCCCAUUACUGACACUAAGGCACGAAAGCGUGGGGAGCAAACGGGGAUUAGAUACCCCGGGUAGUCCACGCUGUAAACUAUGGAUGCUAGCUGUGACACACAUCGACCUCGUGUCGUAGCGAGUAACGUACGUAGACACNCCGCCGUCGGGUAGGUACGGUCGGCGAGAGUUAAACGUUAACGUAAGUAGUAGACGUGAGAGACGCGACGACGACGACGACGGAGGAGGAGG
Molecule: ribosomal RNA, 609 nt
Filed under: uncultured bacterium
Lineage: Bacteria
Description: bacterial SSU rRNA
Rfam family: Bacterial small subunit ribosomal RNA (bases 1-522)
Source: RNAcentral